AACGAGAAUGCCAACCACAAUGACGGGUGGGGCCUGUCAUCAGCAUUGACCCACGUGUCAGCUCCGGUUGACCUCUCCCCCGGUCUGUCGCCGUUAUAACUGACGGCGCCCGCGGCGAGGGCGCAGCUGGUUAAAGAGGCAUGCUCCCUUCUCGCUUACUCCCCAUCCCGCACUGCCCCACCGCGCCGGCCCCGUCUCCGACUCCGACACCCN
RNAcentral lists this long non-coding RNA (213 nucleotides) under Hordeum vulgare. Its description in RNAcentral is "long non-coding RNA (HVUL_LNC011684)". The record is from RNAcentral. Lineage: Eukaryota; Viridiplantae; Streptophyta; Magnoliopsida; Poales; Poaceae.